GACGAACGCUGGCGGCGUGCUUAACACAUGCAAGUCGAACGGAAAGGCCCUGCUUUUGUGGGGUGCUCGAGUGGCGAACGGGUGAGUAACACGUGAGUAACCUGCCCUUGACUUUGGGAUAACUUCAGGAAACUGGGGCUAAUACCGGAUAGGAGCUCAUGCUGCAUGGUGGGGGUUGGAAAGUUUCGGCGGUUGGGGAUGGACUCGCGGCUUAUCAGCUUGUUGGUGGGGUAGUGGCUUACCAAGGCUUUGACGGGUAGCCGGCCUGAGAGGGUGACCGGCCACAUUGGGACUGAGAUACGGCCCAGACUCCUACGGGAGGCAGCAGUGGGGAAUAUUGCACAAUGGGCGGAAGCCUGAUGCAGCAACGUCGCGUGCGGGAUGACGGCCUUCGGGUUGUAAACCGCUUUCGCCUGUGACGAAGCGUGAGUGACGGUAAUGGGUAAAGAAGCACCGGCUAACUACGUG
Molecule: ribosomal RNA, 468 nt
Filed under: uncultured bacterium
Lineage: Bacteria
Description: partial 16S ribosomal RNA
Rfam family: Bacterial small subunit ribosomal RNA
Source: RNAcentral